UACAGAGGUCUCAAGCGUUGUUCGGAUUCAUUGGGCGUAAAGGGUGUGUAGGUGGCGCCGUAAGUCGGGUGUGAAAUUUCGGAGCUUAACUCCGAAACUGCAUUCGAUACUGCGGUGCUUUGAGGACUGGAGAGGAGACUGGAAUUCAUGGUGUAGCAGUGAAAUGCGUAGAGAUCAUGAGGAAGACCAGUGGCGAAGGCGGGUCUCUGGACAGUUCCUGACACUGAGACACGAAGGCCAGGGGGAGCAAAACGGGG
RNAcentral lists this ribosomal RNA (257 nucleotides) under uncultured bacterium. RNAcentral's name for it is "partial 16S ribosomal RNA". It matches the Rfam family "Bacterial small subunit ribosomal RNA", at positions 524 to 778 of the family's 1533-position model. The record is from RNAcentral.